UACGUAGGUGGCAAGCGUUGUCCGGAUUUACUGGGUGUAAAGGGCGUGUAGCCGGGCUGACAAGUCAGAUGUGAAAUCCGGGGGCUCAACCCCCGAACUGCAUUUGAAACUGUUGGUCUUAAGUAUCGGAGAGGCAGGCGGAAUUCCUAGUGUAGCGGUGAAAUGCGUAGAUAUUAGGAGGAACACCAGUGGCGAAGGCGGCCUGCUGGACGACAACUGACGGUGAGGCGCGAAAGCGUGGGGAGCAAACAGG
This 253-nucleotide ribosomal RNA is filed under the name uncultured bacterium. Its description in RNAcentral is "partial 16S ribosomal RNA". It matches the Rfam family "Bacterial small subunit ribosomal RNA", at positions 524 to 776 of the family's 1533-position model. The record is from RNAcentral.